Molecule: ribosomal RNA, 169 nt
Filed under: uncultured bacterium
Lineage: Bacteria
Description: partial 16S ribosomal RNA
Rfam family: Bacterial small subunit ribosomal RNA
Source: RNAcentral
CCUACGGGAGGCAGCAGUGGGGAAUCUUGCGCAAUGGGCGAAAGCCUGACGCAGCCAUGCCGCGUGAAUGAUGAAGGUCUUAGGAUUGUAAAAUCCUUUCACCGGGGACGAUAAUGACGGUACCCGGAGAAGAAGCCCCGGCUAACUUCGUGCCAGCAGCCGCGGUAAU